RNAcentral lists this ribosomal RNA (491 nucleotides) under uncultured bacterium. Its description in RNAcentral is "bacterial SSU rRNA". It matches the Rfam family "Bacterial small subunit ribosomal RNA", at positions 337 to 844 of the family's 1533-position model. The record is from RNAcentral.
CCUUACGGGAGGCAGCAGCAAGGAAUUUUCCGCAAUGGACACAUGUCUGACGGAGCAACGCCGCGUGCAGGACGACGGCCUUCGGGUUGUAAACUGCUUUUGGGUGGGACGAUGAUGACGGUACCACCCGCGUAAGCCCCGGCUAACUCCGUGCCAGCAGCCGCGGUAAGACGGAGGGGGCAAGCGUUGUCCGGACUCACUGGGCGUAAAGCGUGCGUAGGUGGUGCGAUGCGUCGGCGCUGAAAGCCCGGGCUUAACCGGGCGACGGGCGACGAUACGAUCGCACUGGAGGCAGGGAGACGUUGGUGGAAUUCCGGGUGUAGUGGUGAAAUGCGUAGAGAUCCGGAGGAAUGCCGGUGGCGUAAGCGGCCAACGAGUCCUGACCUGACACUGAGGCACGAAAGCGUGGGGAGCAAACCGGAUUAGAUACCCGGGUAGUCCACGCCGUAAACGAUGUCGGCUAGGUGUGUGAUCGGGGUGACCCAUGGCGU